Molecule: RNA transcript, 3419 nt
Organism: Magnolia sinica
Lineage: Eukaryota; Viridiplantae; Streptophyta; Magnoliopsida; Magnoliales; Magnoliaceae
Gene name: probable alpha,alpha-trehalose-phosphate synthase [UDP-forming] 9
Exons: 4
Source: RefSeq, a predicted model, not a curated record
GACACAGGACUUGAGGUGUCAUUCUGCUCCUUUCAUGAUUGAAUCUUCCAAGCGGUUCAACAGUAUUUUAUCUGUGCAGCAAUUAUGGCGUCAAGGUCGUGUGCAAACCUUUUAGAUUUGGUGUCUGAGGACCUGUUGGAUAUUCCUAAGACUCCAAGAAUACUUCCUCGAGUGAUGACGGUUCCUGGGAUUAUUCCUGACCUAGAUGACUAUGGCACUGCAGAUGGGAGUUCAGAUGUUCUUUCUUCUGUACCCUGGCGACGGAUAAUUAUAGUGGCCAAUCAGCUUCCUUUGCAUGCUCAAAGGGAUCCAGCAACUGGAAGCUGGUGCUUCAGUUUGGACGAGGAUUCUCUUGUCUUGCAAAUGAAGGAUGGUCUCUCAUCUGGUACUGAAGUUAUUUAUGUUGGUUCUCUAAAGGUUGAUAUAGAAGCAAAGAAACAGGAGGAAAUCGCUCAAAAAUUGCUGGAGGAGUACCGUUGUAUACCCACAUUUCUGGAUCCUGACCUGCAGAGAAAGUUCUACCAUGGCUUUUGCAAGCAGCAGCUUUGGCCCCUUUUUCACUACAUGUUACCCAUUUGCCCAGACCAUGGUGACCGGUUCAACAAGUCUCUGUGGCAAGCCUACAAAACCGCGAAUCGAAAAUUUGCUGACAAGGUCUUUGAGGUGAUUAAUCCUGAUAAUGAUUAUGUCUGGAUUCAUGAUUAUCACCUUAUGGCUCUCCCGACACUCUUAAGAAAGCGGGCCCAUCGAGUUAAGCUCGGAUUCUUCCUUCACAGUCCAUUCCCCACGUCUGAAAUUUACCGGACUCUGCCUGUUAGAGAUGAAAUUCUGAGGUCGUUGCUAAAUUCUGAUCUAAUUGGUUUUCAUACAUUCGAUUAUGCACGGCACUUCCUUUCUUGUUGCAGCAGGAUUCUGGGCCUGACCUAUGAAUCUAAGCGGGGCUACAUUGGGAUUGAAUAUUAUGGCCGCACAGUAUAUAUUAAGAUUCUCCCUGUCGGUGUUCACAUGGGUCGCCUUGAAACUGUAUUAAACCUUCCCUGUACGGUCAACAAAGUUAAAGAGAUCCAAGAGCGGUUCAAGGGAAAAAAGCUGAUUCUAGGCGUAGAUGACAUGGACAUAUUUAAAGGUAUCAGUCUGAAGCUGCUAGCGAUGGAGCAGCUUUUGAAGCAGUAUUUGCGGAAGGUGGAUGGAAAAGUAGUCUUGGUUCAAAUCACUAAUCCAGCAAGGAGCAAUGGGAAGGAUGUCCAGGAAGCGAGACGUGAAGCCUUUUCGACGGUUGAAAGGAUCAAUGAAAAAUAUGGCUCUCCUGACUAUCAUCCAGUGGUUUUGAUUGAUCAGCCCGUUCCUCUGUAUGAAAAGAUUGCCUAUUAUGCCGCGGCAGACUGUUGUAUAGUCAAUGCUGUGAGGGAUGGCAUGAACUUAGUUCCAUACAAGUACGUGGUUUGCAGGCAGGGAACUCGGGAGAUGAAUAAAGCUCUGGGCAUCGUUGAGGAGUCCCCACGAACGAGCAUGCUUGUUGUGUCGGAAUUCAUAGGCUGCUCCCCAUCUCUGAGCGGGGCCAUCAGGGUCAAUCCAUGGAACGUUGAGGAUGUCGCUGAUGCCUUGUACAAGGCCGUAACCAUGCCUGAACCCGAGAAGCAGCUGCGCCAUGAAAAGCAUUAUCGGUAUGUCAGCUCUCAUAAUGUGGCUUAUUGGGCCCGCAGCUUCGAGCAAGAUCUGGAGAGGGCCUGCAAAGAUCACUACAAUAGGCGGUGCUGGGGCAUUGGGUUGGGUCUGGGUUUGGGUUUCAGGGUCAUUGCCCUUGAUCUAAAUUUUAGGAAGUUGUCCAUUGAUCACAUUGUUUCAGCAUAUAAGAGAACGAAUAGGAGGGCAAUAUUUUUGGACUACGAUGGUACCGUCAUGCCCCAAACAUCCAUUAGUAAAACUCCCAGUGAUGAGGUCAUUUCUGUGCUGAAUAGCUUGUGCAGUGAUCCUAAGAACACUGUAUUUAUUGUUAGCGGCAGGGGGCGGAGCAGCCUAAGUGAGUGGUUUGCCCCAUGCGAGACGUUAGGAAUUGCGGCUGAGCAUGGUUACUUCAUAAGGUGGGGUAAGGCUGCUGAUUGGGAAACCUGUUCACUAGCUGCUGACUUUGAUUGGAAAACAAUUGUGGAACCUGUUAUGAGACUAUAUACUGAGACAACAGAUGGGUCUUACAUAGAAUCGAAGGAAAGUGCGUUGGUCUGGCAUCAUCAAGAUGCAGAUCCCGAUUUCGGAUCCUGUCAAGCGAAGGAACUGCUAGAUCAUCUGGAGAGUGUACUUGCAAAUGAGCCCGUUGUUGUUAAAAGAGGUCAGCAUAUCGUGGAAGUUAAACCCCAGGGAGUGAGUAAAGGGUUGGUAGCGGAGAAGCUUCUUUCGGCAAUGGUGUGUAGUGGGAAGCAACCAGAUUUCGUCUUGUGCAUCGGAGAUGACCGAUCAGAUGAGGACAUGUUUGAAAGCAUCUUGAGCACGGUUGCGAAUCCGUCGUUCCAUGAAGCCCCCGAGAUUUUUGCAUGCACAGUUGGGCAGAAGCCAAGCAAGGCUAAAUAUUAUCUAGAUGAUACCGUGGAUGUUGUGAAAUUGCUUUAUGGCCUUGCUGCUGCUUCGAGUCAGCAGCCAAAGCAUACAGAUUCUCGAGUUUCAUUUGAGAGUACUGCUUGAUGUAGGUGAAGAAAGUGAAUUGUGAUGUUUGGCAUGGAAGUUGGAUUGAAGCGGAAAUGGUUUGAUGUGGAUUUUAUUUUGGAGUAUCCACCAAACAUAAGGAGCUUAGGUGAUUAGUGUUAAUAUUCUCAUGAUACAUGGUGGUUGUCGCACAUGCAGUUUUGGUUAUCUAUGCAAUGGAGAAUGGUGGUUGCAGCAGCAUGAUGGGCAACUAGCAUAUAUGAAUCUGCAUAAUGAAGAUGUCGACAACAUUGAUGUUUCCGGUCGCUUAGACAGCGCACAUUGCUUCCGAUACAGAGUUGCUGAUGAUGAUCAGAUUGGUAGUUUGAAGUUAGAAUACAAAACUAGUAAGAAAGUUUCACUUGGAAAGUCAUGGUUGUUGUGGAGGUUGGUGCGGUUGUCUCUGUCCUGUAUGACUUCUGGGCAUGGUGUGCCGCUGGCACAGCCAAGCAUUGGUGAAGUCCUCAUGUUAUGUACAGGCCAGACAGACAGUGAUGCUCUAUUUGAGAUUUAGGAUGGAAAAAGGAGGGUAGUUAUCCUUGUAGAAGACAUGGAAAGUGAUUUUAUCUUUUAAUUUCUUGCAUUAUUCUAGUAGAAGAUAAAUGAAGUUUCCAUCUUUGGCAUUUUCUUCUUCUCGAGUUCUUCACUCUGAUCUCCAUUUACCUUCUCCACUGCAACCAAUCUCUCCAUAUAUACAAAGGUAGAAAUGUCUGCAAUAGAAAGCAAAACUAAACUACAUUUCC